This 569-nucleotide ribosomal RNA is filed under the name uncultured Bifidobacterium sp. Its description in RNAcentral is "bacterial SSU rRNA". It matches the Rfam family "Bacterial small subunit ribosomal RNA", at positions 134 to 721 of the family's 1533-position model. The record is from RNAcentral. Lineage: Bacteria; Bacillati; Actinomycetota; Actinomycetes; Bifidobacteriales; Bifidobacteriaceae.
GAAUUCGAUUCUCCUGGAAACGGGUGGUAAUGCCGGAUGCUCCACAUGAUCACAUGUGAUUGUGGGAAAGAUUUAUCGGUAUGGGAUGGGGUCGCGUCCUAUCAGGUAGUUGGUGGGGUAAUGGCCUACCAAGCCUACGACGGGUAGCCGGCCUGAGAGGGCGACCGGCCACAUUGGGACUGAGAUACGGCCCAGACUCCUACGGGAGGCAGCAGUGGGGAAUAUUGCACAAUGGGCGCAAGCCUGAUGCAGCGACGCCGCGUGCGGGAUGACGGCCUUCGGGUUGUAAACCGCUUUUGUUAGAGAGCAAGCGCAAGUGAGUGUACCUUUCGAAUAAGCACCGGCUAACUACGUGCCAGCAGCCGCGGUAAUACGUAGGGUGCAAGCGUUAUCCGGAAUUAUUGGGCGUAAAGAGCUCGUAGGCGGUUUGUCGCGUCUGGUGUGAAAGUCCAUCGCUUAACGGUGGAUCUGCGCCGGGUACGGGCAGGCUAGAGUGUGGUAGGGGAGACUGGAAUUCCCGGUGUAACGGUGGAAUGUGUAGAUAUCGGGAAGAACACCAAUCACUAGUG